GGACAUCCAUGGGGCCCCGCAGGUCAAAUUCCUUUCUCUAAGUAUGGGAGACAUUUUUAAAAACAAUGGAGUCUGCCAGGGCCAGCUGCAUGCUGUGGUGUGUACUCCUGACCGCUUUGGACCCAGGCUGCCCUGUCCCCACCGUGACCAGGGACUCACAGAGCUUACCGGGGGGACCUCUCCCCACAGUUACCCCGUCCGUCAUCAGCCUGAAUGCUGCCCAAUCGUCUGCACGGCAGCCAAGGAGGCCUCUGCUCCUAACGCACUGGGAGCCCUUGGAUGGCGCCUCGGUGAUGUGGCGAUGAGUGGGCACUGCGUGGGCGCCUUGGCCGAGCUUGGACACCCUAAUCCCCAGACUGGCCAUUGCGGUGGAGGAAGUGUGAGGGUGACACGGAGCGCGGUGUCGUGCUGCAGGGGACACCUCGUGACUGUAUGAGUCACGAUAGCCAGGGGCCCCUUCAGAUGUCACUUAGCCAAAGGAUGCAGCCCAGCCGGGCCUUUCUCCCCCAGGCCCGAGGACCUGCAGAGACAGGGCCCGCUCAGCACAGAUGCAGCUCUCAUGAGGCCUGA
Macaca mulatta (Rhesus monkey) is the source of this 570-nucleotide non-coding RNA. NCBI's taxonomy places the organism in Eukaryota, Metazoa, Chordata, Mammalia, Primates, Cercopithecidae. The record is from RefSeq and is a predicted model, not a curated record.